UGCAGUCGAGCGGAAACGAUUCUAGCUUGCUAGAAGGCGUCGAGCGGCGGACGGGUGAGUAACGCGUAGGAACCUGCCCGAUAGAGGGGGAUAGCCAUUGGAAACGAUGAUUAAUACCGCAUAAUGUCUACGGACCAAAGUAGGGGAUUCUUCGGAACCUUACACUAUCGGAUGGGCCUGCGUAGGAUUAGCUUGUUGGUGAGGUAAUGGCUCACCAAGGCGACGAUCCUUAGCUGGUCUGAGAGGAUGAUCAGCCACACUGGAACUGAGACACGGUCCAG
Molecule: ribosomal RNA, 281 nt
Filed under: uncultured bacterium
Lineage: Bacteria
Description: partial 16S ribosomal RNA
Rfam family: Bacterial small subunit ribosomal RNA
Source: RNAcentral